CUACGGGGGGCUGCAGUGGGGAAUAUUGCACAAUGGGGGAAACCCUGAUGCAGCGACGCCGCGUGAAGGAUGAAGGAGUUCGGUGCGUAAACUUCUAUCAGCAGGGAAGAUAGUGACUGUACCUGACUAAGAAGCCCCGGCUAACUACGUGCCAGCAGCCGCGGUAAUACGUAGGGGGCAAGCGUUAUCCGGAAUUACUGGGUGUAAAGGGUGCGUAGGUGGUUACUUAAGUCAGAUGUGAAAGCCCGGGGCUCAACCUCGGGACUGCAUUUGAAACUGGGUAACUAGAAUACAGGAGAGGUAAGUGGAAUUCCUAGUGUAGCGGUGAAAUGCGUAGAUAUUAGGAGGAACACCAGUGGCGAAGGCGACUUACUGGACUGUUAUUGACACUGAGGCACGAAAGCGUGGGGAGCGAACAGGAUUAGAUACCCUAGUAGUC
This 439-nucleotide ribosomal RNA is filed under the name uncultured bacterium. Its description in RNAcentral is "partial 16S ribosomal RNA". It matches the Rfam family "Bacterial small subunit ribosomal RNA", at positions 339 to 795 of the family's 1533-position model. The record is from RNAcentral.